UUAUUUCAGCAGCAGAGAUACUUGAAUUGAAAUGAUACAGGGAAGAUUCGCAUGGCCCCUGUGCAAGG
Molecule: small nuclear RNA, 68 nt
Organism: Capra hircus (goat)
Lineage: Eukaryota; Metazoa; Chordata; Mammalia; Artiodactyla; Bovidae
Source: Ensembl